CUUUAUAACUGUAAACUUUCACCCAGAGCAUACCCGCAUAGCACGUAAUAAACCUUACCAGAACACUUUGGCAUGUUUGCUAACUAUAUUUUCACAAAUAUUAAAUAGAUUUUUCUCAGAUGAUGUUUCUGAAGAAACUGCCUGGCCCAGCUCUGGAUAAGCUGCCUGGAAUUCUGGAUAAGAUCCAGAAGAUCAAGACAACCCCAGCAAUUACUAACAGAAAUCCAGCAGCAGCAGCAGAAAUCAACACCAUCAGGGAGGCUAAAAUGAUAAAUAAAAGAUUAUGAAAAUUUGAUCUAUAGAGCUCUAUAAAUAAACACAUUUACCACUACUGUACCUUCA
Danio aesculapii is the source of this 342-nucleotide long non-coding RNA. RefSeq lists it as uncharacterized. Lineage: Eukaryota; Metazoa; Chordata; Actinopteri; Cypriniformes; Danionidae. The record is from RefSeq and is a predicted model, not a curated record. The transcript has 2 exons.